Molecule: ribosomal RNA, 441 nt
Filed under: uncultured bacterium
Lineage: Bacteria
Description: partial 16S ribosomal RNA
Rfam family: Bacterial small subunit ribosomal RNA
Source: RNAcentral
CCUACGGGAGGCAGCAGUGGGGGAUAUUGCACAAUGGGGGAAACCCUGAUGCAGCGACGCCGCGUGGGCGAAGAAGUAUUUCGGUAUGUAAAGCCCUAUCAGCAGGGAAGAAGAAAUGACGGUACCUGAGUAAGAAGCACCGGCUAAAUACGUGCCAGCAGCCGCGGUAAUACGUAGGGUGCAAGCAUUAUCCGGAUUUACUGGGUGUAAAGGGAGCGUAGAUGGGUUGUUAAGUCAGUGGUCAAAUUGAGGGGCUCAACCCCUUCCCGCCAUUGAAACUGGCGCUCUUGAGUGGAAGAGAGGUAUGCGGAAUGCGUGGUGUAGCGGUGAAAUGCAUAGAUAUCACGCAGAACCCCGAUUGCGAAGGCAGCAUGCCGGCUUCCUACUGACGCUGAAGCACGAAAGCGUGGGGAUCGAACAGGAUUAGAUACCCCGGUAGUC